AUAAGCAAAAUAAGGGCGUAUGGGGAAUGCCUAGGCUCUCAGAGGCGAAGAAGGACGUGAUAAGCUGCGAAAAGCUACGGGGAUUGGCACACACGAAUUGAUCCGUAGAUAUCCGAAUGGGGCAACCCAGUAUGUUGAAGACAUACUAUCCUGUAUAGGAGGCGAACCCGCUGAACUGAAACAUCUAAGUAGGCGGAGGAGAAGAAAACAAAAGUGAUUCCGUAAGUAGUGGCGAGCGAACGCGGAAAAGCCCAAACCAAAGUUGUUACGGCAAUUUUGGGGUUGUAGGACCACGACAUUUCUUGCGGAUUUAAUUAGAAUUACCUGGAAAGGUAAACCGAAGAGGGUGAUAGUCCCGUAUAAGUAAGAGAAGA
Molecule: ribosomal RNA, 374 nt
Filed under: Myroides odoratimimus
Lineage: Bacteria; Pseudomonadati; Bacteroidota; Flavobacteriia; Flavobacteriales; Flavobacteriaceae
Description: partial 23S ribosomal RNA
Rfam family: Bacterial large subunit ribosomal RNA
Source: RNAcentral